This 1263-nucleotide small RNA is filed under the name Pan troglodytes (chimpanzee). RNAcentral's name for it is "retained intron". Lineage: Eukaryota; Metazoa; Chordata; Mammalia; Primates; Hominidae. The record is from RNAcentral.
GGCUACUCUCGGCUUCCUGGCAACGCCGAGCGAAAGCUAUGACUGCCGCCGCGGGUUCGGCGGGCCGCGCCGCGGUGCCCUUGCUGCUGUGUGCGCUGCUGGCGCCCGGCGGCGCGUACGUGCUCGACGACUCCGACGGGCUGGGCCGGGAGUUCGACGGCAUCGGCGCGGUCAGCGGCGGCGGGGCAACCUCCCGACUUCUAGUAAAUUACCCAGAGCCCUAUCGUUCUCAGAUAUUGGAUUAUCUCUUUAAGCCGAAUUUUGGUGCCUCUUUGCAUAUUUUAAAAGUGGAAAUAGGUGGUGAUGGGCAGACAACAGACGGCACUGAGCCCUCCCACAUGCACUAUGCACUAGAUGAGAAUUAUUUCCGAGGAUAUGAGUGGUGGUUGAUGAAAGAAGCUAAGAAGAGGAAUCCCAAUAUUACACUCAUUGGGUUGCCAUGGUCAUUCCCUGGAUGGCUGGGAAAAGGUUUCGACUGGCCUUAUGUCAAUCUUCAGCUGACUGCCUAUUAUGUCGUGACCUGGAUUGUGGGCGCCAAGCGUUACCAUGAUUUGGACAUUGAUUAUAUUGGAAUUUGGAAUGAGAGGUCAUAUAAUGCCAAUUAUAUUAAGAUAUUAAGAAAAAUGCUGAAUUAUCAAGGUCUCCAGCGAGUGAAAAUCAUAGCAAGUGAUAAUCUCUGGGAGUCCAUCUCUGCAUCCAUGCUCCUUGAUGCCGAACUGUUCAAGGUGGUUGAUGUUAUAGGGGCUCAUUAUCCUGGAACCCAUUCAGCAAAAGAUGCAAAGUUGACUGGGAAGAAGCUUUGGUCUUCUGAAGACUUUAGCACUUUAAAUAGUGACAUGGGUGCAGGCUGCUGGGGUCGCAUUUUAAAUCAGAAUUAUAUCAAUGGCUAUAUGACUUCCACAAUCGCAUGGAAUUUAGUGGCUAGUUACUAUGAACAGUUGCCUUAUGGGAGAUGCGGGUUGAUGACGGCCCAGGAGCCAUGGAGUGGGCACUACGUGGUAGAAUCUCCUGUCUGGGUAUCAGCUCAUACCACUCAGUUUACUCAACCUGGCUGGUAUUAUCUGAAGACAGUUGGCCAUUUAGAGAAAGGAGGAAGCUACGUAGCUCUGACUGAUGGCUUAGGGAACCUCACCAUCAUCAUUGAAACCAUGGUAAACUUUUGUUGUUGCUAUUGGAUUAACUCACUUCUUUACUAUUGGAAAAAUAACAUAUAAAACUGAAUACUUUUGUUUUACAUGUAAAUACAUAAGCAUACAGACAGAU